Long non-coding RNA from Thalassophryne amazonica, 113 nucleotides. RefSeq lists it as uncharacterized. The record is from RefSeq and is a predicted model, not a curated record. The transcript is spliced from 3 exons. Lineage: Eukaryota; Metazoa; Chordata; Actinopteri; Batrachoidiformes; Batrachoididae.
AACGUUGCAUGGUUGAUGGUGCCAAAUGGGCUGGUCCGAGCAUUUCAGAAACUGCUGAUCUACUGGGAUUUUCAUGCACAACCAUCUCUAGGGUUUACAGAGAAUGGUCCAAA